This 2245-nucleotide long non-coding RNA is filed under the name Homo sapiens (human). Its description in RNAcentral is "PREDICTED lncRNA (TCONS_00235822)". Lineage: Eukaryota; Metazoa; Chordata; Mammalia; Primates; Hominidae. The record is from RNAcentral.
AACGAGCAGCAGAGCCGCCCAGCAGCAACCACAUUAGGAAGGAAUCGGAAACCAACGCUCCGCUGGCUGUCACCCCUUACCCACUUGCUGUCAGGUGUCCAAACAGUGUCAUCCGGUGUCCUGACAUGCGGCCCCAAUGGACUGAUCCAGGGUGGAAAGGAAGAGUGAGAAGAAAUCAGACAGAAGAAUUCAGGAGAUGUGGCAACAGAGUGGAUGUAGCAGAAGGGACAUAGAGAGUGCCUAAAGAUGAGUCUUUGGUCAGCAUGUGAUGAAAAGAAUGAAGACACUGGGGAAGUGGGGAGCAGAAGCGGAUGUGGGCCCAGGAGGAAGAAGAUUCCAGAGAGCAGAGAUGGCAAAAAGAUGCAUGGAAGAGAGACACAGCAGGGUCGGGUUCUGGCCUCAGGAGCCAAGGGGGAAGUGCCUGAGGAGACCCCCAAAUGAGGCCUGUGUCAAUGAGGUCUUUAGGGGACUGGUUUCCAUGUAUGCCAGGCCAUACUCCCUGGAUUCCCAGCAUUGAGAAGACCAAACACUUCUACACAUUUAUUACUGAAGCCCCCUGCAAGCUGAAGGCGGAGGAAGUGGCCAAUCUCCUAAGCCGUGUGUGGCUGAGGCAGUUGUCAGAGCUGUGAUGAGGGAAAUGCUCAUUAUUCUUCUAUCCCUCACUUGGCCAAAUAAAGAACUUCUUAGAAUUCUUCCCCUGUGACAAAACGGGGCUGUGAUUUGGAAAGCCUCAGGCAAGUUUGCUAGGGCCGCGGUAACCAAGCACCACAGACUGGGUGGCUUCAAAACUGGACGGCUUCAACAGAAAGUUAUUGUUGCUCAGUUCUGGAAGCCAGAAGUCCAAAAUCAAGGUACUUGCAGGGUCAGUUCGAUCUGAGGGCUGCGAGGGAAGGAUCUGUUGUAGACCUCUCUCCUAGGUUUGCAGGCAUUGGUCCUGAUGUUCACAGGGCAUCCUUCCUGUGCCUUCACAUCAUCUUCUCUCUGAAUGUAUCUCUGGGUCCAAAUUUCCCUAUUUUAAAAUAAGGAAAUCAGUCCUAUUGGGUUAGCACCCCGCCCCUCACUUUAACUUGAUUACCUCUGUAAAGACCCUACCUCCAAAUAAGAUCACAUUCUGCGUACUGAGGGCUAGGACCUCAACAUCUGAAUUCAGGGUGGGUGGAUGCACAAUUCAUUCCAUAACAUUAAGAAGGAAGGGAUAAGUGCCCAAGGAAUCACAUGCUCGCUUGGGGAGAGUUCCAAGCGUGCAGAGCUGGUGGUCAUAGCCUAGCCUCAGGCCUUCGGAAAUCCCCUGAAUCUGGUUUUCCCAGUUCUCAUAAUCUCAUUUCACCAAAAUACGGCAUCUCAAUACAUUCCAUGCAUUUCUGGUGACAAGCUCAUUCUGGUGCACGCUAAGCAAUGUGCUAACUACGUCUUAACUAGGGUGGUUUAACUGGUUUGGUUAACAUAGAUCUCUGAGUCAUUUCACGCAUUCCUUAAGCCUAAACAAAUCUCAUCCAGGUGUUUAAGACAUUGCACAAUAUUAGACCAUCUGAAGCUCCAUCUCCUUGGGGCAAUGAUGAUGAUGGUGAUGAAAGUGGCUGGUGACUGUUCUCAGUCUCAUCGCCAUAAUGGAACCCUACGUUGUGUUCCUCCACACUGGUGUGAGGGACACUACUAAGUGCGGCAGAGUUUGCACUCAGGAUAGAGAAAUAUGGACUCACGCACAGAUUCCAGCUGAGUCCCUCCGAUGUGCUAGGUACUAUGUCCAGCCCCCCAGGAUUCACCUGUAAGCAGGACAGUCUUUUGGAUGACAGAGGGAAUUCUCAUAUAUCCACAGGCAGAUGGAAUUUACAAGUGGAAAGACCUAGAAGUUCAGAGACAGGGGGACUGAACUUUUUGCUUUCAGUCAGAAUCUUUGCUUACGGUUGUGCAAAUGCUUGCAUUGGUGGGUUUCCAUGCCAUAUAACGUGCUACAUAUUUUUACGUUACCCUUGCACAUAAGCAUACUGUUGGGAGGGAAAAUGAAGAGGGUGGAGGUGGUAACAAACUCAAGCUAAGGAAAUGGAAUUUGGAUGGGUACAAAGUCCAGAGAAUUAGCUUGAGGAAAAUGAACCAGGAUUCACACAGGAGUUUUCAAACAUCUCAAUAUCAGGACCCCUUUACCCUCUUAAAACUUACUUCGUGAGGACCUUAAAGAGCUUUUGUUUGUGUGACUUAUAUGUAUUAAUAUUUACUAUAUUAGAAAUUAAAAGUAAGGAAUGGUUGU